This 253-nucleotide unclassified non-coding RNA is filed under the name Hevea brasiliensis (rubber tree). Lineage: Eukaryota; Viridiplantae; Streptophyta; Magnoliopsida; Malpighiales; Euphorbiaceae. The record is from RNAcentral.
GCGAAGACCAGAAAUCCAGCUCUCUCUCGCGCGCUCGUUCUUCCUUCUCUGAAGCGAUGAGUCUCUUCGGUCUAGGCAGCAGAAAUCAAAGGACUUUUCGCCCCAAGAAGAGUGCACCAUCGGGGAGUAAGGGGGCUCAACUCAGAAAGCACAUUGAUGCCACACUUGGUAGUGGAAAUUUAAGGGAAGCAGUGAGACUUCCAACUGGGGAGGAUUUGAAUGAGUGGCUGGCUGUCAACACUGUGGAUUUCUU